This is a long non-coding RNA of Triticum urartu, 1811 nucleotides long. RefSeq lists it as uncharacterized. The record is from RefSeq and is a predicted model, not a curated record. NCBI's taxonomy places the organism in Eukaryota, Viridiplantae, Streptophyta, Magnoliopsida, Poales, Poaceae.
AUUCUACAUACACCCGUCUCUCUAUCCCCACGAGAACACGAACCAUCCCGGCCACCCGGCGCUAGGGUUCCCUCCACCGCCACGCCCCAUCCCUCUGCUCCCAGCAACCCUCUCCACCCUCUCCCAUCCCCAGUCGUCGUCGUAGCCCCUCGCCGUCGUUCGAUAUCCAAGACGGAGCCUCGGCCGACAGCUCCUUGGAGCACGCCGCCCGCCGGUGGAUGCCCUGAUUCUGCGUGACCCAGCCAGAGACUCACCUCGCCACCUUGGUGCCUCCCGCAGGAUCUCCGCCACCGCCUAGCGCUUCUGUGCGCAAGGAUGCCGACGCCUCUCCCUGGCCCUCCUGGCGGACAGCCUCCAGCCCACACAAGCUUCCCUGUUCUGGCUCUGUCGGCUACCAUGGUUGAGUAGAGCGAGGAGAUCGAGAGGGGAAAUAGUCACUUGAUUUUUGCGGAUUAUGUUGGGCAUGGAGAUUGAUCUUAACUUUUUGGUUGUUCGCAGAUUCAAUGAUGACAACACGCACACCUUUCCCUGAUGCUUGGGCAAAGGCAUGUAUGUCCGAUGUGCUGGCAAAACUUUAUAGAUGCAGAUUACAUACAUUAGAAAUUGCCAACUCGGUGGAUGAUAAAUACUAUGACUUGGGACUCAGAAAAAAGAUCAACACGUAGAUGCAGAUUACAUAGAUCAGGACUUGCUAACUCGGCGUAUGACACAUACUAAACGACAUCAACACGUAGGUGAGACCAUUGACUAUUAGAGGUGAGUCGGCAAGCUGUUUUCUUCUAUGGUUUGGCAUGUAACUUUGUGUUCUCUAGCUCUUUUUAGUUUUAUAUUUUUCUAACAAACAAGACCAACCUUAACUUAAGAAGAAAAGCAUCAUUAUAACCAUGAAAAAAAUCUGCUUAAAUGUUAGGCUUUUGUUCGUCUAUUAAGUCAUUACCCGUCUAAACGAGACACAGAAAUAAUGAAUUCUUACAUGGUAAGUUUUUGUUUCAUUUUCAUUCUUUGCCUUAUCCCGUGUUGGAAAAGAAGUUCAAUUGUUUUUUCCUCACAAUGUACCAAAGAUUCUGAUGAAAGAUGCUUAUUUUUCUCUCAGCUUCAAGAAACAGUCACUAUAUACUCUGUUUUGUAUAUAUUAUGUAGUUGUAAGGAGAUGUUUUAUUUUCUUUAUAUGCUACUAUUUUAACAUCUUGGAAGGGUCCUGAAUUUAUUGGAGACAACAAAGUGGGCGCACCAUGUGAGUUAUUUGGCACCUUGAUGCAGCAAAUCAACACAUGUUUGAGCUACAACGGAGGUCACUUAAAUAAUCAGCAGAGGAAUAGACUCGGCAAGGAAGGGAGCUACUCCAGUGUAGUCGGUGGAAUUGACUGGCAAAGUAAAUCAUGAAGCUCCUGGUUGGACCAAGAGGCUGAGAAUUGGGGCUGCACCUCCUACAACAGUCAAUUUCGUCGGUGGCCUGCCAACAACACUGGUGAAGGAACAAGGGUGGCCCGAGACCGAUAACAGGGGGCUCUUGAACUGGCAAAGCCAGAAGCCACCAUCGCUUCAUUGUCCCCGGAGAUCGUUUGGUGAUGUCCGAUGGAUAUCACGUGACGGAGUGGAGACGCACACUCCCCUGCCCCAACUUUGGUGCCGCCACCUACCUAUGUGGGGCACAGUCCUGCCUGACCCAGCCUACAUCUUGAUUGUAAAUCUCUCUCACCUUCUAUCUCGUGUUCAUGUGGUCGUAUUGAUUUUGCCUUUUGAGAAGUGUUGAAAGAAGAUUAUGUGCUUCAGACGACUGAAUGUCCAGUAAUAUCAUCAACCUUCAGUCA